AUAUUUUAAGGCUUCUGCCUUCUUAAUAUCUUCAAUAUUAUACUUUAAAAUAAGCUAUUAAAAUA
This 65-nucleotide transfer RNA is filed under the name Cautires sp. UPOL A00019. RNAcentral's name for it is "tRNA-Phe". Lineage: Eukaryota; Metazoa; Arthropoda; Insecta; Coleoptera; Lycidae. The record is from RNAcentral.